UAAUUUAAAUAUUUUCGAAAGACAAAUUCAGAUUUAAAAGUAAAUUUGAAAAUAGGUCUGAUCGCGUUGUACAUAUAAAAUGUAACAACUGUGCAUAUGUCAAUUUACUGGCUUCUUCACACAUCCAUCCAGUGUGUAAAUUUGGCGAUUCCUACUCUUUCUUUCGUUGCAAUCUUUGUUAGAUCUGUAGGAUCUGAAAAGAUGACUUGCUGCUCAUUUUCCAAGUGGAAAGGCAAUCUUUCGACGUAGGGAUCUCUGAAGUGCAAUUCAAAUUGAACUAUUUUCCAACAAUUAGCACUGUGGCUUGGUCAUCACCUUUAUUUAUGUAUUAAAAAAGGUAUUUUAUUGAUAGGGAUCUGUUGCACACCUCUACAUUUAUAUGUGCUUGAUAUUUGACCAGUAGAUAUCUGUUGAAUGGGACUACAGCAGAAUUGAUGUGCAAGGCAUAUGCAACAUAAUGUUGCUUCCUGUGCAUCAUUAGUGGUAAAGUUUAGAACCAAAGGGAUGAUAACACACAUAAGGUAAAACUUGUGAAGAUUUUUUUACUUGAAGUUGAUCAAAGGUUGUCCUUUUUGUGUGGCUGUGUAUUGUGGGGCAUCCCCAUUAUGAUGGAAGACUGUUUAUUUAUCAUUUCUUGCGGUUUCAUUCUACUUUCCAAUCUUGCCGUUUUGUUGAUUGUCUGGAUUUGCAACAAUAAGAUAAUAAUUUUAAAUAUUGUUUUCUUGUCCAAGCUAAAAUCAAUUAGGAACCUCUUGUGCCUAACUGGAAUUGUUGUCUUUUUAGUUGUAACAUUCUUGUGAUACCACAUAUAAAAGAAUCACGAUUAGUAACGGAUCACCUUGUUGGAUUGCAUAUUUGAUUUGUUCUAACCACCUUUUACAUGUUUCUCAAAUUCCUUGGUAUGUGGCCCACCAUUUCUUGUCAUUGUUUAUUCCUGCACAAUAGAGAAUGCAAAUAUAAAGUUUAAGAGGAUGAUAUUAUAAUAUUAUUACAGACAGUGGUAGACCUGAAUUUGUGUUUUUUUGGGGUGAUGGAUGACUACAAAGAUCAAUGGCGAUGCACCUGCUGGUCUUUGGACAGGGGAGUCUCUUGCUCCGCCGCUUAAGACCUGGGCUGGCCAACCCUGCUCGUCCCAAUGGUUGGUCCACCACAGAUUACGAUUGAGGAUAGUCGACAUGAGAUUGGGGGGCUUGUGACCGAUGCAGGAAGACAAUGCUGAAGUGCCACUUGUUGGAGGAAGUUGACAUCGAAGUGUUGUUUGCUGGAGGAAGAUGAUGUAAUAAGGGUACUCUUCUGAAAUCUAAAGGACAAUGAGUUUUUGAGAUGGUCGAACCAUUGCCUUGGGAAGGUAUUUUAGGGAUGGCUGAGUUGACCACGCUUGCUCGAUGGAAAGAGAUGUUACUUGGAUGCGGAGAGAUUUUAUAUAUGUACGUGAACAUGAGAUUUUGUUUCUGCUCAGAGAUAUUGUAUCUCUGUACAAUAUUGGUAGAGUUUGGUUAUGUUUGGAGAGAUUGUAUCUUUGCAUAGGAUUGUGAGAGUUUGGUCAUUGCGUCCUGUA
Aegilops tauschii subsp. strangulata is the source of this 1558-nucleotide non-coding RNA. The record is from RefSeq and is a predicted model, not a curated record. NCBI's taxonomy places the organism in Eukaryota, Viridiplantae, Streptophyta, Magnoliopsida, Poales, Poaceae.